Molecule: long non-coding RNA, 978 nt
Filed under: Triticum aestivum (bread wheat)
Lineage: Eukaryota; Viridiplantae; Streptophyta; Magnoliopsida; Poales; Poaceae
Description: long non-coding RNA (TAES_LNC017497)
Source: RNAcentral
CUGAAUAUCAGCUCCUUCAAAUCCAAUUUGCAGAAUCCUUUGCAACAGCUACCCAAGAUGAACUAGUGGAGAAUAGAUCCAGUUCUGCACGUCAUAAAUCCACAUCAGAAUCAUCAAAAUGACUAAAAAGGAAGAAAGUUGUACAGAGGAGCUAACUGUUUUCACAGAACCACUGGAUGAGCAAAAGCUGGAUAUUUUGGUUUGUGAAAGUAAGAGCUCAUGUAUAUGCAUUGCAUUACCUUUCCAAUAAAUUGAAUAACAACACGUGAUGGAAUGAAACUAAAGAGUGAAACAACAAGAGAUCUGAUUUUGGAAAAGCAUGAUCUGAUUUUGGUUGGUCACAGAGUGAAAAGGAAAAAAUGCAGCACCCCUCAGAACAUGGAUAGGUACUAAGCUUUGACCAUUGACCAUUUUCCCUUUGCUUUAUUUUUUGUUCUUAUUCUUUACAAAAAUUCCCUGAUCUACAUAUUUUAACCGUUUUACUUUGAUAUUUUAACCUUUUCACUAUAAAAAAUUUAAAUGAAAAUAGCAACAAAAGAUUAAGGAGGGGAGAACAGAUGGACCAAGAGUUGACCCUCUCCUUGCUCUGGAUCUACACAUAUGGCUGUAAUGGAAACAAACACAGGUGGCACAAGUUGAAGAAGAGCACCUUCAACACUACACAGCAACUCUGCACCUCCAGUUAGCAAAUCCCUCUGCUGAGCGAGAGUGUUCAAUAGAUCCAACUCUACACAUCACGGAUCCAAAUCAGAACAGGAAAAGAAGAGAGCUGUGCACUAACUAGAUCGAGAGCUCAACUGAAUGUAUUGAACAGCAGAGGAGGAAGAGUACCUUUGGCGCCGUCGCCGUCGCCGAUUGGGAGGAGACCACCGCUAAAAGUCGCCGCAGAGAGCCAGAGACGAACGAAAGAAGCACCGAGUAGGAGUGGUGUUGUGGAUCUGGAGUGAUCUGUGGCUGUGCUCAUCUCAUUCACUCAGC